RNAcentral lists this ribosomal RNA (492 nucleotides) under uncultured bacterium. RNAcentral describes it as "partial 16S ribosomal RNA". It matches the Rfam family "Bacterial small subunit ribosomal RNA", at positions 29 to 507 of the family's 1533-position model. The record is from RNAcentral.
AGUGAACGCUGGCGGUAGGCCUAACACAUGCAAGUCGAACGGCAGCACAGUAAGAGCUUGCUCUUACGGGUGGCGAGUGGCGGACGGGUGAGGAAUACAUCGGAAUCUACUUUUUCGUGGGGGAUAACGUAGGGAAACUUACGCUAAUACCGCAUACGACCUACGGUUGAAAGCAUGGGAUCUUCUGACCUUGCGCGAUUGAAUGAGCCGAUGUCGGAUUAGCUAGUUGGCGGGGUAAAGGCCCACCAAGGCGACGAUCCGUAGCUGGUCUGAGAGGAUGAUCAGCCACACUGGAAGUGAGACACGGUCCAGAGUCCUACGGGAGGCAGCAGUGGGGAAUAUUAGACAAUGGGCGCAAGCAUGAUCCAGCCAUACCGAGUGGGUGAAGAAGGCGUUCGGGUUGUAAAGCCCUUUUGUUGGGAAAGAAAAGCAGCAGGUUAAUACCCCGCUGUUCUGACGGUACCCAAAAAAUAAGCACCGGCUAACUUCGUG